AUGUUCUCUGCCCAGGGAGCAGCCAGUGUCUGGCUGCCUUUACCAGUGGCUGUUGAUCACCUGGGGUUGUUGGGUGGUUCAUCAUCAAUUCCUGGUGACUUCAGGGUAACCAUGCCCUCCUCCAGCCUUCUCGGAGGGCAGGAAUCCCCCCGUGCAGCGCCUGGCUGCCGGCAGAGGCUUCCUUGCCGACCUUCCCAACCCCGCUGUGCCUCGUGCUGUGCUGACCAGUGGGCUGAGCCCUGCCUGCUCCCUGCAUGCUGUGGUGCCCCCAUAGGAACACACGACAGAGUGGGGUUUUUGUGUGGAGGGCUGUUGGUGCUGCUCUGCCAGGCUUACUCCCCAGGGAGAGCUUUAUCUCGGAGACGAGGCAGCCAGGGAUGAGCCAAGCGAUGUCUGCAGUCACCGCGCCUGACCACCCGUCCCAUCCCUCUGCGAACCAGAGCAUCACCAUGGGGCACCAUGGUGGCAGCAGCAUCCAAGGAGAGGAGGCUGAGGAGAGACCUCAUCGCUCUCUGCAGCUCCUGGAAAGGAGGUUGUGGUGAGGUGGGUGCUGGGCUCCUCUCCAAGUAUCAAGUGAUAGGAUGAGAAGAGGAAAUGGCCUCACGCUGUACCAGGGUAGAUUUAGACUGGAUAUUAGGAGAUAUUUCUUCACCAAAAGGAAUGUUAAGCAUUGGAGGAGGAUGCCCAUGGAGGUGGUGGAGUCCCGAUCCCUGGAGGGAUUUAAAAGCUAUGUGGAAGUGGUGCUUAAGAUAGUUUAGUGGAGGGCUUGGCAGCGUGAGGUUUACGGAUGGACUCAAUAAUCUUAAAGGUCUUUUCCAACUUAAACGAUUGCAUGAUUCUGUGAAUCAAGAGGGCUGAGAGACUGGGUUCCCUGCCCGGUACUGAGUUAUCUUCAAUAUGUCAGAAAUGGCAAGGAAAACUCGUGCUACAGAUGUGAAAGGCAAAGGAUCCCUUGGAAGUUUUCCCCAGCAUGAGAGAAGCUCUUGAAGUUUAUUCAUGUAACAGCCACCGUAUUAAAGAGCUUCUCGGAGAACCUCGAAUAGCUUUCUAUAUGGAAACAAAUCUGCCUCUAUAGCAGCCGUUUUCUGUGUUUCUUUUGAUAACGAUAAUGAUCUUACAUUUCUGAACAGCCUUUCAUCUUGCCGGAUCUUAAUGAGCUUUACAGACAAAUGUGCAAGCUCUACGCAAAGAUCAAUUCGCCCAACAAUGCCAGGCAGCCGCUGCUGGGGUGGAUGCGGCAGGUGUCUGCACAGCCCGCGCAGAAGCAAUUCAGGCAGGAACGGGAGGGAUUGGAGUUUGUUUUGAUUUGUCGUUAUUUAUCGAAAAUGCAGGCAGCAUUCUAGAGAAGAGGAAUUUUGGCAGGCGAGAAUUUGGCCGGGACAACAAAGUUGUCUCUCUGUCUUUCCUUUUGGAGCCAUUCCUCUCCUUGAUACAUAUUUCAUCCUUCUUGAUGCCAGGGAAGUGAUCGCUUCUCAAUGGCUGCAGCUCCUGCCUGGCGUGGAGGCGGACAGCUUCAGUACAUUGCUCCGCUAAAUAUUUAAUGUAUUUUAUAGGGAAGGUGAUGAUGCCAAGAGGAGAAAACCAUGCCAGAAGAGCUGAUGGCCCAUGCCCGCAGUGCUCAGCUGAGCAGAGAGGUUUGGAUGGAGGCGCUGCAUCCAUCACAGCUGUCCUUGCUGCUGGCUGCUGGGGGGUUGUGCUCCCAUUUGUUCUCACUAUUUCUUGCCCAUGCUCCAAAUGAUGCGGUGGGACGGGACCUGGUUUCUCACGGUCAGCCUCUGUCCUAGCAGGGUAUUCAUAGCAACUGUUGUGUUCAAGGGUAGAAGCAUCACCUUGAAAGCAGGACGGUGUCCCUGGAGUCUCAUUUGUUCCCAGUCCAUCAGGCCGAAUUUAGCAUCGCCACGAGGAGCAGAGCACAUCUCCCCAUCCAUCUAGGGCACCAUUUAUUUCUUCCUCAUAGCAACAAGCCCAGAAGUCGGUCUUAGGUGGGGAGGAAAAGGCAGGAGCUGGCAGCACCCUAAAUGCCCUUCAUUUCAUUUCUGAGCCACUGUAUUGACCAACGAGCACAGACCGAGGAGAAAGCUGCUGCUGCCAUUGCUCAGGCACUGCUGGAGCCUUCUGCCUCCUGCUCUGCCUCAUCGCUGAGGCUGACCUCCUCCUACUCCUGUUUCAGCAUCUUUUACCUCGAGAUAGGCUGCCCCCACCCACCCUGGGCUGUCUGGGUGGCACAGUCGGUGCCUCCUGGGGACAUGCACCUCUGUCAGGUUAUGCCCCUUCCCUUUGGCUCUUUGGUUCACAAAUAGUUUGAACCCUUUGGGGUUUCCGUUGAAGCAAAUUCCUUUUCUCUCCUCUGUUUCUCUUCCUCUCAAGCUGACCCCUCCUGAAAGCCCUUUUAUCCUCCUGUAUCUCCAUUUCCACCUUUUUUUUUUUGUCGGUGGUUGGCUUAACCCUUCCUUUGCUGUUUGCAGUUUGUCAAAGUGAUGCUGGCUCAGGAUGUUUUGUUUUAAAAGCGAGGCCCCGUGUGCUUGUUGACUGCCCCAGUGUAAUGCACAUCAUGAAAUAGUCCCUGCUGCUGUGGGACAUCCCAGCCCAGGGGUUUCCAUCCCUUGUUCAGCCUGGAGGAUUCAACUCAAUUCACAACAGGUCAGAGCUUAGGAAAAGAGCAUGAUACCUGCUGUGCAUCGUGGCCACAUCUUGAAGCAGUGGGAGGCCAGAGGUGCCCUGGCGUCCCUUCAGCAUCACCUCCUGCUGCUGCUCAAGGUGGGUCCUGCUCCCCUGUCCCGGUUUUGGCAGCACGGAGCUGGGCACCCUGUGGAGGCAUCACGGCUCCUGGUGAGAGUGAUGCACAGCCCGGGCGCUCCUGCCUGCAGCUUAUCUCUUCGCUCUCUUUAAUCAUGGCCCCUCUUCUCUCCCCUCCCUGGAGCUGUGAUCCUGGCACUGCACUGUUUCCCAUAUUUAUAGGAGUAAAGCUAUAAUCUCCCUCAAUCCUCGAAAACUUCCCGGCGAGAUUGAUGGAAGCCCAGGUCAGCCAUUAGUGACCGCUGCAUAAAUCACCCUCAUUAGCCGAGCUCCCUUGGCAAGGCGUGCUGAUAUAUGGACCCACAAAGUCUGUGAAGCAUUAAGAAAUCAUGGCUACAUACCUGGGACAGCUGAGGAUCUCUGCUGCUUUGAGAACCUUAUCUGGACAAGGAUGGGCUGCUUCUGGCCCCUCUUUUUGUUGUCUGCAAGUUUUUAGCCCUGCCCUGAAUCACUUAGUAUUUUUCAAUCAAACCCAGCCUGGGCUGCCUACUGAACAGAAGUGAAGGGGAACCCACCCAGGGUGGUGACUCUCAAAGAGAGAAAGCGCUUGAGCCGGAGCAGACAUCCCUCUGAAGAGCCCAAGGUGUUGGAGUAACCCAUCGAGAGAGCACUUCCCAGUGCCGGAGCUGAGUUAUCUCUGAUGUUCAGUCCUGUCUGCUCAUCUGGAAGCCAGGAACAGCAAAUGCCACCAAACCCUGAUGUACCCGGUCACGUGCACAGACUGCUCCCAUCCCACCGUUUGAUUUGAGGCUGAGAUGGAAGAAAAUCCAGGUCUUGUUUUGCGACAGAGGUUGAGAUAGAGGCGCAACAUGGUGUGUGGCUGAAGCUGGAGGAGAGCUUGAUGCUGCAGUGGUCCUGGUUGGCAGCCUGCGAGAUGUGUGGGCACUGCUGGCUUUGGCUACCAUGACAUUUUGCCAGUGGAACCCUGGAAACCCCCCCAUAUCCAUGAUGCUCACCUGGGAACCUUCAUCCUGCUUCCCAGCGUGUGUAACGGCUUGAACGUAGCAGGCAGGGCUCAGCUGUGGAUUAAAGCAGCAUCUCUGUGGGCAUGGCAUGUGGAUGAGGAUGCUUUGUGGUCAACAGAGAGAGAAAGGCCCAUGGGGACACUAAUUAAGUGCUGUCUGUAGACACUUGCCCUAAUAGAAGUUUAUCAGUCAAUGCUGAUUUAUAAUAAGGAACGUGAAUGCUGCUCUCCUGAAUGCUUACUUAGGAUGGGAAUGCUGGAGUGCUUGUCUGGAGAGUGCCGAUGGAUUUGUGAAUCAUCUAGUCCAGGACCGUCAGGCUCGCAUGACUGUUCGGGUGGCAUUCGGUGUGAUAACUGUGGAAAGAGCCACCGUGGCCCUGUAUCCUCCAUGGAUUUCCCUUGUUUGCAGCCACUGACUCACUCUGAAUAAUGGGCAAUGGCAUAAAAUCAAGCAGUUUGCAGAUAAUUUAGGCACAGCCGAGAGCACUAUAUUCACAGGAUGAACUGUCUGCUGCGUUAAACAUAUAUAUUUGGGAGAGUACGCGGAGCACUCUGAGUUGUGAUGCCUUUCUAAUUACAGCCUUGAGGAUUUGCUCAGGCAAAGCUCCCACGGAGCUGGUGGGGAGCUGCGGGUGCUGCCCGUGCUGCCAGGCUCGGGGGGAGCAGGGGUGGCUCCUGCACACACCACAGGCGCACCAUGGGCACGAGAAACAGCAGCCGCCUUCGCCUUCUGCUCAUUUGCAUGGAGACGAUGGAUGCUGCUGCGUUUGCGUUCCGAGCACUGCGGGGAAAGCUGAAAUCUUUCAGAACACAAAAGACAAACGGAACCAGACCAGGGAAUGUUUUUAUUGAUGACAACUCUCAUAAAGCUCCUCUCUCCUCUGGUUCCUCGGCUCGCCCAGGCCCCAGCACGCGUCCCUCAGGGUGAGAAUUGUCUGUAGGCAGAUGCUGUGCGCACGGGGCGUAUCUGCUUACAGCACAGGGCUUAUUAGAGCAGCCUGCAGCUGAGGAGUGAAUCUUUCUUUCCUCUCUUCGGCUGCAGCACGAGGUCCCCUGUGCCAGCGUUGGGUUAAAUGUCCAAUUAGUCUCUCGCACUCCGGAGUUAAUCGCUGUUGUUUGUUGCUGAGUGAGAGCCGGUGGGAUCCAUUAGGUCCUCUUCCUCCUCCGGCUGCCCAGCUGGCUUGGGCUGGCUCCAGGUAUGCUUUUUGGGGUCUGCCACCGGGGAGAAAUCUGGCCUUUUUUUUGCUUGGGAAGCAGCGUGCUGCAUUCGCUGCCUCUGGGCUGAGCCAGAACUCGGCUUUGGGCUGGAGGGAGAGGCACAAAGGGAGCUGCUGGGACAGAAUCACAAAAGCCUAAUCAUGUUUCACAACACGGCACCUCGCAGGCGGAGAUGUAAAGCUUUAUAUAGAAAUAUAAUUAAUAAUCUCGUAAAAAGCUGCCUCCUAGCUAGUGCUGUAACACAGAACAAGGCUCAAGGGGCGAGCAGCUUUACUGGUGCAGGGUCUGAGUUGACGGCUUGUCCUGCACAUUAAAGAGCUGCCUGGGUGAUGACUGUUUCCUAUUAACUGUGGCAGCUCUUCUGGGGGCUGCCUUGUCCUGAUGGGUGCUCAGAGACCACUGGAUGGGUGCAGGGGAGCUCUCCUAAUGCCUUGUCAGCUGUGGGUAUGGAGAAGGGCUCAUCUCCCUACCACCAUCACGGAGAGAGAGGAAGAGAUCCCUGCCCAGCAGGUGAAAUAACCCACUAAAAUCCAACAAGCAGGGCUGGCAUAGCUCGAUUCAGUGCAAAGGAAGGAGUCACGGUAUGGAACGUGUGCUGGGCGUGCUGCUGGCCACGCCAGGGUGGCAAGGCCCCAGUCGGCAUCGUACCUCCCAGGCAGCUUGCUGAGCCAGAGCACACCUGCCCAGCAGGGAUUGCACAUUGCAUGGUAGAAAAAUCCCUCGAGCAAGGCAGCUGUGGCUGGAAACACCGCAGCGUGGCACACACUCCCUUGCUGUGGGGUGCAGCUCCUGCAGGGGUGGCACCAGGUCGGGGCUGGACCGUGGCUCCCGCUGCCUGCCCAGCCUGCUCCCGCAGGGCUGGAACGAGGAGCAGAGCGCGGGGGGCGGGCAGGCUCCCUUGGGGAGCAGAAAGGCCAUGGCGAGAGGGGUGCUGUGGGACCAGUGGAUGAGGGAGGAGGAUCUGGGCCAGAUUAGCUGUGGGGUAGCAAGCAGGAAGGACUGGUGGAGCCUGCGGUGCUGAGGCGUGAGCCGGGAGAGAAGCUGCUGUGCUGGCUAGGACAAGCUGUGCUUCCAGGGGAGUGAGUCCGGCAGCAGACCCGAGGCGUGCAGCUAGAGGCAAAGGAAAGCCUCAGAUGCCCACAACUGCUGGCUGAGGUGUGUGUCCGGCUGCGGCAUGGAGCGGGAGAGGGGUCACGGCACUGGCACUGCCCUCGCUGCCCUGACCCUGCAUGUGGCCCAGCCCCAUGAGGAAGGGCACAGAGCAUCCCUCUUGCUCCAACCCAGCAUGGUUCCUGGGUUUACUGGGAGGUGGGAAAGAGCUGAACCCAGCUUUUCACACCUCUUAGUCACUGAGUAUGAAAAAGCAGCAUCUCUGGCCCAUUGGAACUUUCUUUGAAGGGAAAAGAGCAAAUGCCAGGGCGUUUUGUCAGCUCCUUGUCCUCCCUGGCAUGGGAGCAGUGCAGUGACUCACGCAGCCCCAAAAGGAGCUGACGUGUAAAUUGAGGUUGGGCUGAAUUUAGCCAAAUGCCUGAGACCCUGAAAGUGGAGAAGCCUCCCUUCUGCCUUCGGCUUCACAGUUGGUGUCUGGAUCAUGCACUAGAGGUGGCCCAGAGGCACAGGAGUGUUGUCUGCCCCAGAUGUGUGCAUAAUAUGAGCGUUUAUAACUCACCUCUCCCCUGACCGCUACACUUUCGCAGUACCACCUGGUUAAAAAGAGCUUUUUGUCUAAGAAAACUGCCCCCUCUCAUUCCCCCAGCAGCCAGGUGAAUGCUAUCGUGAAUGUUACAGGCAGAGAAGGGGCACUGGGCUCACAGUGAGUCAAUGUCAAAGCCAGGGUUACAGCCUCGAGAAGCAGCCUGUCCCCUCCUCCCCGCAGCAUCUAUUUCUCUCCAAGCAACAUCCACCCUGUGUGCGGCCGGUGCUAUAAAGAACAAAUAAAAUGCUGUGCAAGCCAAAGGAAAUAGCAUCAUUUAAAAAUAUGCACAAGGUUAACAGGCACGGGGAGGACACGGCUGGUGUGGAUGGAUGGUAGGAGAGCAAACGAAUGAGACCCGAAGGGCUGCAGAGUGUACAGCAGUACCAGCAAAACCAUCCAAGCGCAUAAGUUGCAAGCGAAUCUGGCUUCUCACCCUGCUCAAGGGCUGUCCCAGGACCUCAAAGCCCAUCAG
Long non-coding RNA from Cuculus canorus (common cuckoo), 7146 nucleotides. RefSeq lists it as uncharacterized. NCBI's taxonomy places the organism in Eukaryota, Metazoa, Chordata, Aves, Cuculiformes, Cuculidae. The record is from RefSeq and is a predicted model, not a curated record. The transcript has 3 exons.